This is a non-coding RNA of Danio rerio (zebrafish), 73 nucleotides long. The record is from Rfam. NCBI's taxonomy places the organism in Eukaryota, Metazoa, Chordata, Actinopteri, Cypriniformes, Danionidae.
GGCCCAGUGGCCUAAUGGAUAAGGCAUCAGCCUCCGGAACUAGGGAUUGUGGGUUCAAGUCCCACCUGGGUCG